This is a small nucleolar RNA of Choloepus hoffmanni (Hoffmann's two-fingered sloth), 65 nucleotides long. Lineage: Eukaryota; Metazoa; Chordata; Mammalia; Pilosa; Megalonychidae. The record is from Ensembl.
AGGAAAUGAUGUUGAACAAAUGUCUGACCUGAAAUGAGCAUGUAGACAAAUGUAAUGGUGAAGGA